CUCAUUUGGCAGUGGAGGCUAGGGUAUUUUGCUGUUGAUUCCUGGCUAUGGAAGGCCUUCUGAAGGUCCUGCGCAAAUGCUGUACUUGGCAGGAAGACAGAGCUCAGAGCCACUGGAGUACCUGCUGAAGUUGGUGAUGGGGAGCAAGAAUAUGCUGUGAAGAGAUACCACAAAGUUCUUAUUUUGGGAGACAGGCUGUGUUUCUGACAGCCAGACCAGCCUUCUGAACCAAAUAGCCUCCAGCUCCAUUCUGUCGGUGAGAAACAUAGCAGCCUGAGAGAUUGAAGUUCAGCAAAACGAUAAGGCACCAAAACCAGGGCUUUCUAAUGGGAACUGUCAUGUAACUUGAAUAAUAGUCCCAUUCAUAACACUUACACUGGAUCUUAAUCUCACUUUAAGUGAAAUUACUCUGGGGACUUAAAAUUAGAGUAUUUGCAAUUUAAAUUUCUUCUGGGAUUCUUUGUACCUCAGGUGCAGUGUGCAAUGAUGUGUUAUGUGCUCUCACUACAAAAAGUGCUUGUGUGUGUACAAGUGAGUCUCUGUGUGUGAAUAUAUCCUUGCCCCAUAUUUUUGUAUAGUUAUACAUAUGUAGUAAGAUAAGUGCUGAUGUAAAGAUAAUAGAAAAACCAAAGGACAUAGUGAUAACUUCUCUUUCUAAAGCUGUUAACUAAUAUGUUUGGUUUCAGAAACAUCUAAUGCAUAAUUUUCUAUUUUCCUUUUCACUGACAAAUAUAAGAGAAAAAUGGUCAGAAAAAAAAACACACAGGAAAACAAAACAAAAAGGGCAGGAAAAUGAAUACAGAGUUCUAAAUAUCGACGUACUGAUAUCAGGAAGGGGGGCGGGGGGCAGAAUAAAAUAAUUCUCUUGAAAUGUAUGCCCUUGGAAGGACUAUGAAGCAUCCAUGCAGUCUUUGUUUUACAACCAGAGCUUCUAAACACCUUCUAAGCUCUGGACCAAGCACUGAAAGCAUCAAACUAAAUUUUCACAAGCUAAAUACUUAUUAUUUUUAGCAUUCUUUUGUACUGUAACUUCCAAAUUUGUUCUUAAAGGUAUGCUCACAGUGAGUCCUCAGUGGGUAGCAGAAUUUCAUGCCAUUUACUCAGUUCUGGCCAUAGCUUCUCUUCAGCAAAAGUUCAUCAUGUAAAUUAUUAUUGCUCUUGCAGGUAGAACUUUAUUAUAGAUGAUACACAUACGCCAGACUCAUCUAGAAUUAUAACACUUUCUGUCACCUUCCUCUAAAUGACAUCUGGCAGCCGUUCCCAGAAUGACAUUUCAGACAUGUUUCUCUUCAUAUUAAUUCUGCUUACAUGUUGGCAGUAGUUGGCAAUACCACCAGAGAACAACUUCCUUCAAUCAAGUAAAGAUACUUUCAUA
Molecule: long non-coding RNA, 1375 nt
Organism: Numida meleagris (helmeted guineafowl)
Lineage: Eukaryota; Metazoa; Chordata; Aves; Galliformes; Numididae
Exons: 2
Source: RefSeq, a predicted model, not a curated record